UUUAAAUACCAAAAAAAAAAAAAAACCAAAAAAAAAACCCGUGGCUACAAUCAGCUGCUGAGAGGAUCUCUUCGGUUUAGUUCCUGCCAAUUUCCCUCGGAGCUGGCACUGCAGGGGACUCCAGAGGCAUAGAGGAGAAGGAAGAGGUGAGGGAGGGUGGUUUGGGGAAGGGAGGAGAAAUGGACACAUGCCAUCGAUGGAGCGACAAGGCUCUUGCUGCCAGAGUGCCAGCAGGCAGCAUGGGGCCAAAAAAAAAAAACCCAACAAAACAAAACCCACAACAAAUAGCUGGCAACUCCUCCUGAAGCAGGCGGCGUCUGAGUUGGCAGAGGUGCCAUGGAGGACAAGGCUGCAGCAUGCAGGCGAACCCGGAGAGUGAGCAGGCAAGCCGGGGAGAGAUGUGGCGACACAUGCAAUGCAGGAUGACCUGGUGGCAUAGGACAGAAGAGGAGCUGGAGUUCAAAGGAAGCCUCAGAUGAAAAGUAAUGGAUCCUACAUAUAGCAGACACCAAGUACAGUGAUUCCGAGGUUCCCGAGAAGCAGCGCAAACCAGUCCUUAUUCUAAGGGUUAGAGGAGAGUCGUGUAAAGUCCUUGGCUAGACUGAGGGCAUAUGGCUAUUACAGUUCUUCCUGCCUCAGGCUUCUUCAGCAAGAUCUCACUUUUGGCUACGGAAUUUGGUUUAACACCUUUGGAGAUGCUGCUGACCUAAGGAAUUGCUGCUUCUGUCUCCCGACCUGCAUUGUUCCUCUAAAAUGUUCUCAGACCACCACUUACCAAUGGAGAAACAUUCAGCCUGGCUACAUGGAGCUCUGGCAAAAUGCAGUACCUCUCCCGAAGCUUCUACUCCUCUGGUGUCUGGAUUCUCCUGCUUCCUUUGGAAUAGAAUUAUGAGCUGCAUGGGCCUCCUGGGACUUGGCUCCCUGGGCCCUGUGUGUGCUUUUUUUCCAGGGGCUGGGUUCAGGCACAUCUGGCUGCUGUCAGGCUUUGAAAUCCUUGGCUCACAUUCCUGGGGCAGCUGGAAGCAAGGCUCAGGCUACAUGGUAGGGGAGGGGAGAGAUGAUAGGCACUGCCCCCCAGGGAUGAUCUCAGGGGAGAGGAGUUUUUGGCCAUUGCUGACAAUGCCCCCUGCCCCCCUUCACACAGUGGAAGCCAUCUCUAUUAUGGUCUGCAAUCUCUUUUGGGCUCUCGGGGCUGAGGCGGCAGCCAAGGAGGGGGCCAGCGCACAGGGGGUUAACCGCUGAUUACAGCCUUUGUCUCUGCAUCAGUGUACAUAAUGCGCUCUUCAUUUGCAUACUGCAGUGUGCGCUCAAUUAAAAUGAACUUUUAAUUUC
Phascolarctos cinereus (koala) is the source of this 1332-nucleotide long non-coding RNA. RefSeq lists it as uncharacterized. Lineage: Eukaryota; Metazoa; Chordata; Mammalia; Diprotodontia; Phascolarctidae. The record is from RefSeq and is a predicted model, not a curated record.